Molecule: ribosomal RNA, 248 nt
Filed under: uncultured euryarchaeote
Lineage: Archaea; Methanobacteriati; Methanobacteriota
Description: partial 16S ribosomal RNA
Rfam family: Archaeal small subunit ribosomal RNA
Source: RNAcentral
UGCAGCUCGAGUGGUGGCCGCUAUUAUUGGGCCUAAAACGUCCGUAGCCGGCUUAUUAAAUGCCUGGGUAAAUCGUACGGCUUAACCGUACGAAUUCCGGGUAGACUGAUAGGCUUGGGACCGGGAGAAGCUAGAGGUACUCCUGGGGUAGAGGUGAAAUUCUGUAAUCCUAGGGGGACCACCAGUGGCGAAGGCGUCUAGCUAGAACGGGUUUGACGGUGAGGGACGAAGCCCUGGGGAGCAAACGG